GAUGAAGAACGCAGUGAAAUGCGAUAAGUAAUGUGAAUUGCAGAAUUCAGUGAAUCAUCGAAUCUUUGAACGCACCUUGCACCCUUUUGCAUUCUGAAGGGUAUGCUCGUUUGAGUGUCAUUGUACUCUCACACUCCCGAUCUUUGCAUUGGGAGCAGUGGACUUGGGUUUGCUGCUUCACCGUCGCUUACCUCAAAUAGGUUAGUGCAACUCUUGGUUGGACAUAGUACGGCGUGAUAAGUGUUCUUCGCCGGUGCCUCGCAAAGAGGGUGGCCGAUCGGGAUGUUGUGCUCCAAACCGUCUUCGGACAAUCUCUGACGACUUGACCUCAAAUCGAGUAAGACUACCCGCUGAACUUAAGCAUAUCAAUAAGCGGAGGA
Molecule: unclassified non-coding RNA, 380 nt
Filed under: soil metagenome
Description: partial contains 5.8S ribosomal RNA, internal transcribed spacer 2, and large subunit ribosomal RNA
Rfam family: 5.8S ribosomal RNA (bases 1-120)
Source: RNAcentral